RNAcentral lists this unclassified non-coding RNA (524 nucleotides) under Hevea brasiliensis (rubber tree). The record is from RNAcentral. Lineage: Eukaryota; Viridiplantae; Streptophyta; Magnoliopsida; Malpighiales; Euphorbiaceae.
GAAUCAGAUUGCAGAGGUCAAUUUUAUUUCAAUUUAAUUUAUGUUUAUUGAAAAUUUUUUAAUUUAAUUAAAAGACCAAUCUAAAUAGGAUCAGAAUACUAAUUUUGAUUUGGUCUAAUUUAAGAUUUAAAAGAGAGGAAAGUGACUGAUUUUCCUUUAAGCUGAUUUCGAUCUAAAUCAAUUGUUAAAUUGAUGUUAAUUUUGAAUUUAAUAAAAUUAAUUUCAUUUUAGUUUUUAGCACAAUUAUUAAUACACCUCAUUCUCAAAGGCUCACCAUACUCCAACCCUAAUGUUUUAUUUGUCUAUAUCUGUAUCUUUGUUCUAGACACAAAGCCCUAGAAAUACAUACCUUCUUUAUUUCUAUAUUUGAUGAGUACUUCCAUUAGCAAAAAAAUAGUAUUGCUUAAAUUUGAUAUUUGUCGAUAUAUAAGAAUCAUAUAUUGACGCGAUUGGAAGUUGUUGAAAUUAAAUAUUGUGGAUAAUAAUUAGUCAUCAAAAUAUUAUCAAACCAACGCACUAAAGAU